CCUUCCCGCGCUCCCCGCAGGUUUCCCCCAGACAAUCGCACAGUACCCCUAACUCCACUUAAUUCGCUCCGCGUGCUCUGAAUCACAGAAAGGCAAACUUGCUGACAAAGAGGCGGCCCGCCCGCGUGCGGGGUUCCCGGGCGCGUCCCGCUGGCCAGGUGAGGACAGCGGGCACUGGGCGCCGCAGCGGGGCGCGGGGCGGGCUGGAGGCGCGCGGACACUCCCCCGGCCGGCAAGGAAGGGGCGGGCCGAGGCGCGGGCCAGGUGCCGCUGGGUGGCCCUGCGAGCCGCCGCUCUCCGCCUCUCUAGGCUCAGCUUCCAUCACCGCGUAGCGGAGCCCCGUGUCCGGGCCAGUGCUGACUUCGAGACUUUUCUGAUGGUGACUCAUGAUAUGCAUGGAAGCAUAAAAAAUGCUCACACGAAACAUUCAGAAAACUAAACUUACCCUUACGUAUAUGAUGCUGUGAUGGUUAACACUGAGUGUCAACUUGAUUGGAUUGAAGGAUGUGAAGUAUUUUUCCUGGGUGCGUCUGUGAGGGUGUUGCCAAAGAAGAUUAACAUUUGAGUCAGUGGACGGGGGCAGGCAGACCCACCCUCAAUGUGGGUGGGCACCGUCUAAUCAGCAGCCAGCGUGGCUAGAAUAAAACAGGCAGAAGAACAUGGAAGGACUUGACUUGCUGUGUCUUCUGGCCUUCAUCUUUCUUCCAUGCUGGAUGCUUCCUGCCCUCGAACAUGAGACUCCAAGUUCUUCAGCUUUUGGACACUUGGACUUACACCAGUAGUUUGCCAGGGGCUUUUGGGCCUUUGGACACAGCCUGAAGGCUGCACUGUCGGCUUCCCUCCUUUUGAGGUUUCGGGACUCGGACUGAUCCACCACUGGCUUCCUUGCUUCUCAACUUGCAGACGACCUAUCGUGGGACUUUACCUUGUGAUCCUCCUCCCAGGAGUUCUGCCAGGCAAUGGGAAGCACUCCGUGACUGGAGAGGCUGCCUCUGCUCCUGAAGCGGAGACCUUGCUCCUUCCCAGGCCGCCAGGAGGGCUCAGCCUACAGGGAAGCUUGGGAGCCCUUAAAGGAGGCAUGGGACCAAGACAGGUGGCAGAGAAGAUGGAGGACCAAGCCUGGCAGGGGAAUGAGGUGGCUUGGGAGCAUCACUUCAGGAUCUAGGGAGGCCCUGGUGGGGCCUUCUGCUCACCUCUUUGCCAGAGCUAGAAAGCCCUUCACCUCGGACAGCAUCACCCCACUGAACGUGGCCUCUGCCCCCUUCCUGGGCUUGCCAUCUGAGGAAAAACAGGUGAGGGACCCAGUAGCUGGUUUCUCUGCUGCACCGCUUCUUGAGAUGCUGAAUGGCAUGGGACUCCCCACGGCUUUCGGGGCACCUCUACUCCUCUUGGCUGUCAGGAUCUGCUGGGGGACAGGGCCAUGGUUGAGGGGUGUAUUAGUCCAUUCUCAUGCUGCUAUGAAGAAAUACACAAGACUGGGUUAUUUAUAAAGGAAAGAGGUUUAACUGACUCAUGGUUCAGCAUGGCUGGUGAGGCCUCAGGAAACUUACAAUCAUGGUGGAAGGGGAAGCAAACAAGGUGGCAGGAGAGAGAGAAGUGCCAAGCAAAGGGGGGAAAGCCCCUUACAAAACCAUCAGAUCUCAUGAGAACUCACUCAUGAGAACAGCAUGGGGGACCCGCCCCCAUGAUUCAAUUACCUCCCACCAGGUCCCACCCACGGCAUGUGGGGAUUAUGGGAACUACAAUUCAAGAUGAGAUUUGGGUGGGAACACAGCCGAACCAUAUCAAGAGGGAUGUGCAUUUGGUCUGCUCGGGGCCAUGGUGAGUGAGACAAGUCAGGAUGAAGCUGUGGUCACCCCUCCUAGCUGCCCUUCUGCAGCUCAGGGACUCUAGAUCUGCUGUAGCCCAGGCACCGCACAACUUGCUUCCUGGGCCAAGCAGCUUCGUGUGGGUCAGCAGCCCAAUUGGUAAAAUGGACACUAAACUGAGCAUUAGGAUUCUUGAGUUCUAGACUCCAUGCUUCCCCUGGCUAGUUGUGUGACUGUGGAAAAGUCACUUUUCUCUGGGCCUUAGUUUCUCCCUCCAGAAUAUAAAAGGGGUUGAACUCAAUUCCCUCCUCCCUUCCUUCCUUCCUUCUUCCCUCCCACAUGUAGGACUCCAUUGGAGAUACCAAGAUGAAUAAGGUUUUAUCAAGAGGCUAAAAGAGGACACACAAGGUAGCAAAUAAAACAAAUAGUCAGUGAUGAGUAUAAUUACAAAAACAUGGGCAAGACAUGGAGCUGGUACAGAGGACAGAAUGGUUUGCUGAGGAGUGGGGAGAGACAGCUCCAAGGAAGGUUUCCCUUGGAUACUGAGCUGGGUUUGGAAGGUGAUUUUAUGUUCCUUUCCAGCUCCACCCCUCGGUAUGUCCCAUGAGAUUCUGCUCUUGUUAUAAGGGUAGAUGGGAUGGGGAAGACAGAGGGGGAAGCAGUGCUCUGAUUUAUUUUAUCAAGUGCUCUUUAAAACCAGAGAACCAAGAAAAGAAUGCCUCAAAGUGGAAAAUGGCCCUUAGCAUGACAAGCCUGUCCUUGAAGAUUCAGUCAAACCAAGGCAAUGGCAGCAUGGACAGAGCCGGGGAGAAAUGCUUGCCUGGUGCUCAGAAAAAGGUCACUCACAAGCAGGGUGAGCAGUGGUGCCUGAUACAUGCCUGCCUAUGCCCUCCUGGAGAGCUCAGAGGCUCAGGUGUGGCACUGAGGUGCCAUCUACCCUGCAGGUGAGCGCCAGGCUCAGCAGUGCACUAUUGGGACUGCAGCCCGGGGUUCAGCUGACUCUUCUGAUGUGGGAACGGGGUACCAUUCUUUACAAGCAACCGAGCCUUGCUCAGACAUGGCCUCCCAGUCCUCUCCUGAGCCCCCAGGCUGUGUUUGCCAGCCCCGCUCCCUGAAAUUAGACCCAUUCUCCUCUCUUUCUAAUGGAAAUCACCCUGGUGAUUGCUGGGCCUUCCCAUCCAGUCACUGGCCUGCGACAUGAGGGCAGGGGCAGUGACAGGUGUGGACCCCACUAUGGCCUGAGAGCCUGGCGUCCUCACAGCAAGUGCACAGUGGGUGUGGGUUGAAAGAAAGAACGAGAAUAGCCAAGCAUUGGUCUGGCAUGAAGAUCCUUUCCAGGGGCUUCUUCCUAAUGACCUGGAGGAAAGUCCAUUGCCCUCGGGGACUGCUGGCGCUUUGCAGACUGCCCCUCCAAAAAUAAAAACGGCCAUAAAACAGGGAAGGGGGAUACUCGUUGUUGCCUCAGAAGCUCAGCAGACAGACGGGUGAGGGGAGCAGAUGCCGCUAUUUCCAAAACCCCCUACAAAGCCCCGUUCGUGGAGUCCCACGCUCAUGUGGGCGGCUGCCAGGUGCCAGGUGGUUUGCUGGGCCCGGGGUUCUGAGGGGAGUCGGGGGAGUCUCCCACCCCUGGGCCGAGGGCUGCUGUGAGGGGAGCAGUGCCACAGGUGUGCACGAGAGGGACAAGCUCACCUGCCCAGCACAGUCAGAGCAGGUGCCGCACUGGAGAUGAGGCUUCAUGGGUGAGCAGGAAUUCAGUGGAAAAGGAACGGCAAAGAGAACAAUGUGAGCAGGUUGGGAAGGGACAGGAGAGAGCCUCUCAGAGGCCCAGAGUUUGGUAACCUAUCCAAAUCCACACAGCCGUAAACAGAGGGGCUUGGACUCGGACACCGAUACUUCACCCCAGAGUUCACCCUCUUUACCACUCUACUAUUGCUGCCAUAGUUAAUGGGUAUCUACAAUGUUUACAAGAAAAGCAACUACUUUGUUCAUGGUGAUUAAAGCCCAGGUACGGAGGAAGGAAAGUAGCAGAAGAUAAAGCCAAAAAUAGGUUAAGGCCAGACACGUAAGAGCCCUGAGGCCAUGCAAAAGAGUCUGGGCUUGGGGCUCUGGCUGUUGGAGCCUGUGGGGAUUGCUCAGCAGGGGGUGCCUUGGGGCACAGCGUGCCAGCCUGCAGGUAGGGCAGGAGCUGGGAGCUGACGGUGGGGAGAUGGAGACAGGUUUGAGAGCAGAGGAGAACUGGCUGUCAUUGAGAGGAGAGGAAGGAGUCAAUAAUGACCCUGAGGUGUCUAGUCUGGUCUAGGGUGGGUGGGUGAUGGUGCCAUUGACCAGACCGACCUGGAAGGAGAGACACAGAUGAUGUGUGUGGUUCCCAGUGGGGGAACUCCUGUCCAGGCCAAAAACCUUUUCAGUCCAGCGUGAUGCUUGGUUCCUAGUAGCAAACAUCAAACAAAUGAACUAUACUGUCAGCCAGUGCAUUUCUGCCUCCCAUGCCAUGGGCUCCCCCCACCCAACCCCAGCACCGAAGGUAGAGAACUCCCCUGCCCGGGGGAUCCUUCUUUACUGGGCGUCCCAUGGUCCUGGCUCCUGCCCCACCCCAUCCUCCCCCCAGCUCUCAACACAGAAGCCCUAGCUAGCAGGACAAAGAAAAAUCCUACAUUAACUGUUACGCCGCUGCCUGCUUUCCUUCAGGCCUGCUGCCUUAUUUCUAUCCAGCCCCAGGCAUGUGUGGCAGUUCAAGCUAACGCUUCUCCCCAUGAUGACGUUGGCCACACUUUGGCAAUGUUUCUCUCCUAUAAAUGGGAAGUUCCUAAAAUUACACGGCAUGGGUGACCUGCUCUGCCCUUACUGGUCUGCUCACGUCCUCAUUGCCUGACUUCACCCUAUGCAGGGUUUGCUGGCUAAUCGGCCACAGACUAUGGUUUUGAGAAAUGCAGUUAAUACUCCACAGAAAACCAACCCAGUUUCUACAAAGAGCCAAAUACUGUUGAAUCAACUCUACGCCAAUGGUUGUUAAAACCGCUCACUGGGGUCAGCGCUCUCCCUGCCCCACCAGUCUUCCACUGCUUUCUGUUGAACUGGGCAGUUUCCAAGUGGUUUGAGUGACAGCCAUGAGCCGCUGAUCCAGAAGCAUCUUGCUGGUGGUGUCUUGGCAGAACACUGUUGCCCAAUACUAACAGGGACAGUUUAACCAUGUGGAAGGGACCUCAGAGAUAUUCCCAUCCAGUGCCCCCAAUUUGCAGAUGAAGAAACUGAGGCUUUGAGAGGCCAACUGUCUGUCCACAGUCACACACCCAGUCAAGGGCACAGCCAGGACUGGCACGCAGACCUGCUGACUUCCGCCCUCCCGUGGCACCCUCUGGUGACCCAUUCCAACAGUGAGCAGUUUUCCUUCCCUUGCUCAGAGGAAAGCUUGCUUUCUAAAGAGCUGGCCACGUCCCCGGCAGGAGCUUCCCGGAGGACUUGCAGCACUCUGGCUCCUGCAGACCCCUGGCUAAGUAUAACCAGGCCCCGUUGACCCAGACUCAUCUCCUGAUUUCUUCUGGACAGCAAUGCAUGUGGAUUUGUUGUUCUCUAGACCUGAAUCAGGGAAGUGUGUCCCUCCAGACCCUGCCCCGUGGCCCAGGAUCCGGCGUCACUUUGCAAGCUUUGCAAGAUCCCAGCCCCAUUUGUGUGGCCUGCAGGUGCCCUGGCAGAGAGCAGGCCUCCGUCGGCCGAAUCCACACUGCUCCUCUCCGGGGCUGCAUUUCUCAUAGCCUCCAACUCCCCUGGGAGCCAUGGUUUUUUCCUUUCUUGCAUAAUCUGAUUUUUGCCCCUUUAGAUGAAAAUUCUGUUCCUCAGGAUUACCCCACUUUCUACCUUAAAGCUUCUGCCAAAGCAAACACCCUAACAAACAGACAGAGGGAAAGGAUGGGGUUCAGGUCCUGAACAAAUCUCAGUAGCCCUCCAGGCAACCCCUCCCAGGGGAGGGAACCUGGAGCUUCAAGGGGCCCCUCCUGGGACUGAGCGACCGGGAAGCCGCUGUGUUCUGCGAGGCUCAGCACAGCGCCACCAACUGGGAAGAGGAGGGCAGGACACCUGGACCCCAUUCGUUAAUUCUGCGCAAUGGUUCUCAGCUGGGAUCACCCGGGAACUUCAUAAAAAAUUCAUGGCUGGGUCCCCCUCCCACAGACACUGACCAUCAGAGGAAAUGGACCCGUCCCUAAAUGGCGGGCAGAGAGACUGGGAGACAGAAGUCCACCUUCCCAGGAGCAAAUGACAGAGACGGUCAGAGGUCCCAGAGGACCCAAAUCCUGGGAAAACACUCCAAACAGCCUGCAUCCAGCACCUUGAGGACACUUGCACCCACCCACUAUGCUCUGCUGAGGAUAACAGUCACUAAAGGGCUCCUCAGCUUCAUGGCAGGAAAGAACAGUCAAGCCCCACCACCCCAGCUACAUUUCCCAGGUACUCUCUUUCCAAGAAGGCAUCCCCCAGACCUGCAAAUCAGCAGUGUCCCGUCCCUGCCCCCUCUCAGGACUGAAAGGGAAUCAGACAGCAAAGAAGGCUCUCCUCCCUCCUCCUGUGGUCCCAGGGAGCUCCAACUUGUCCAGCACAGUGGCCCUGCCAUCAUGGAGGCAGCGAGACUGAGCGAGCAGGCCCUGGGCUCUGAGUCCUGGUCCUGGCCCUGCCCCUAACUCGGGCCAUUUACCUCUCCUCCAUGGGCCUCAGUUCCUUCCUUUGUAGAACAGGGAGGGAUAAGGUGCCCAGCCGUGCUUCCCCAAUGGGCAAAUAUAAGGAUUGAACAAGGGGAGGUGCUCAAAAUGGCACCUCCACAUCCAUCAGGGAAACGUGGACAGAGGGAGGGAGCGCUCUGAGGGGAGGGGAGGCGAAGGGACUCAGGUAUAUUAGUCAUCCCCAAAACUGAAGUCAUUUCUCCCCGCCUCAUAUGCAGUAGGAACCAUAGUAAGAUGCACAGAAUCAGAAGUCAGACCCAGAUGCAAAAUCUGCAGCUCGCUUACAUGUGUGACCUUGGACAAGCCUGCAAACUUCUCUCAGCCUCCGUUUCCUCAUCUGUAAAGCUAGGCCACCACACUGUUCUCACAGGCUCUUAGGAGGCCUGAAUUGAAUAAGACAAUGCACGAGAAGUGCCUGGUACCCAGCAGGCACUCAAGGAAUGGCAGCUCCUGAGGCCCCCACCACCCCCUGCUCCAACCCGGUGGUCUCCUGCAGGUCAGGGGGGCAGCUGUCCUGGCCAUGGGCAUCUGGACCCUGGUGGAGAGGAGCAGCUACCUCAGCAUCCUGGCCUCCAGCACCUUCACUGCCUCCGCCUGCAUCCUCAUCUGAGCGGGUACUCUCGUCAUGGUGACCGGCUUCCUGGGCAACAGCACCAUCUCCUAGGAGCAGAAGGGCUGCCUCUCCAUGCUCUGCAGGGAGGGGGACCCUGCACUACCACCCUAUUUCCCAGUGAGGUCCCCAGCAAGGAAGAAGGGCUCCAGUCCUGGAGUGGGAAGCGGCUGAGGCCAUGGGACAGCCAGAGAGGGGGUGGCUGCUCUCCAGCCUGGUGUUCUCCAGGAUCUUAGGACACAGGCCAGGAGGCCAGCCUCGGCAGCUGCAGUAGCAGCUCCCUCUCAUCUGUCUCUCCUCCUCCCUCUCCUUCUCCUCUGCCCCUUCCUUCUUCUCCCUCCUCUCCUUCCGCUUCUCCCUUCCCUUCUCCUUCCUCUCCUCCUCCUCCCUUUUCCUCUCCUUCCGCUUCUCCCUUCCCUUCUCCUUCCUCUCCUCCUCCUCCCUUUUCCUCUCCUUCCGCUUCUCCCUUCCCUUCUCCUUCCUCUCCUCCUUCUCCCUUUUCCUCUCCUUCCCCUUCUCCCUUCCCUUCUCCUUCCUCUCCUUCUUCUCCCUUUUCCUCUGCCUUCUCUUUCUCCCUUCCCUUCUCCUUCCUCUCCUCCUCCUCCCUUUUCCUCUCCUUCCGCUUCUCCCUUCCCUUCUCCUUCCUCUCCUCCUCCUCCCUUUUCCUCUCCUUCCCCUUCUCCCUUCCCUUCUCCUUCCUCUCCUUCUUCUCCCUUUUCCUCUGCCUUCUCUUUCUCCCUUCCCUUCUCCUUCCUCUCCUCCUCCUCCCUUUUCCUCUCCUUCCCCUUCUCCCUUCCCUUCUCCUUCCUCUCCUCCUCCUCCCUUUUCCUCUCCUUCCCCUUCUCCCUUCCCUUCUCCUUCCUCUCCUCCUCCUCCCUUUUCCUCUCCUUCCGCUUCUCCCUUCCCUUCUCCUUCCUCUCCUCCUCCUCCCUUUUCCUCUCCUUCCCCUUCUCCCUUCCCUUCUCCUUCCUCUCCUCCUCCUCCCUUUUCCUCUCCUUCCGCUUCUCCCUUCCCUUCUCCUUCCUCUCCUCCUUCUCCCUUUUCCUCUCCUUCCCCUUCUCCCUUCCCUUCUCCUUCCUCUCCUUCUUCUCCCUUUUCCUCUGCCUUCUCUUUCUCCCUUCCCUUCUCCUUCCUCUCCUCCUCCUCCCUUUUCCUCUCCUUCCGCUUCUCCCUUCCCUUCUCCUUCCUCUCCUUCUUCUCCCUUUUCCUCUGCCUUCUCUUUCUCCCUUCCCUUCUCCUUCCUCUCCUCCUCCUCCCUUUUCCUCUCCUUCCCCUUCUCCCUUCCCUUCUCCUUCCUCUCCUUCUUCUCCCUUUUCCUCUGCCUUCUCUUCCUCCUCCUCCUCCUUUUUCCCCUUGUCUUCCUCUCCCUCUCUUUCAUCCUUUCUCUUCCUGUUUCUCUUCCUGCUCCUUCCAGAUUUUAUCAUGGCAAUUUUCAAAGAUGUGCAAAAAUUUUAAAAAGUGCUUUAAUGAACCUCCAUCUUCCCAUCACCCAGGGCUCAACAGUUACCACUUCAUAGUCCAUCUCCAUUCGCUGGCCUGCACCCUCCCCUCCAUCCCUCCCUCUCCCCACCCCAGGAUGGUUUUGAAGCAAUCCCAGAUAUCAAAUCAUCUGUCAAUAUGUCAGCAUAUUUCUGAAAGAGCAAUAAACUUUUUAAAACAUUUAAAAAACAAAUAUUUCAGUAUGUACCUCUAAAACUUAAGGAUCCUCUUUCAGAAAACAUAGUGACAUUACCAUUAUCAUACCUAAAAACUAUUAACAGUUGAUUCCUUAAUAUCACGAAAUAAGCAGGCAGUUUCAGCUCUCCCCAACUGACCCAUAAACUGUUCUUUUUAAAAAAGUUAUUGGGGUCAGAAUCUAAAUUACGUCCAUGUGUUAAAAUCAGUUAAUUGGUCUCCUAAGUCUCCUUUAGCCUCUAAGUUCCACCAUCAAUCUCUCUCUCUCCUUUUUUCUCCUCUUGCAAUGUAUGUGCUGAAGAACCAGGUCAUUUGUCCUGUCACGUUUCUCCCAGUCUGGAUUUUCUGGUGACACCCCCGUGAUGUUGUCUAACAUGCCCACCUGGAGGUUAGAUCUAGAGGCCUGAUCAGAUCCCACUGAUCUGAAUGUUUGGAGAGCGCCUGGUGCAUGGCUGGUGUUACAGGCACCAGAGCCUCCUUGACAGCCUUCCGCCUGGGAAGCUGGGAAGAUCCGCAGCAGCCCAGAGUGUCAGGAGGGGAGGCUGGGGUGGAACGUGCAGGACCAGAGGCCUGGAGUCCAGCUCAGGACUCAGGCAGACCCCAACUCCCUAACUUCCAUGCCCUCUUGGCAGAGGCAAGCUCCCUGCUGCCUGGGGCCUCUCUUCACCCCACAGCCCCUCCCAAGGGUCAAAGCCUAGUGUGUGGGAAGAGAAGAAGAGGACAGAUGAGGCCGAAAAAUGUCCAGACCAGCAAGGAAGUGUGAGGGGCAGAACCAGCCCAAGUCUCAAAGAGAAAUCAGGCCAAGCCUGAAAGGAAUCGGGCAGCGGGAAGAAGCCUCAAAGGCCCCCGUGUUCCUUCUCCGGCUUCCCGGGUUCCACCACAGACUUUGCAGCCUCUGUUUUUGCACAGUGACCCAGGGAGCCAGUGGCAGAGGAAGGGUGCCGCGAAAGCCCGUGGACUGUCCCCUGCUGCCUCUCACCAGCAGCGACCUACUUUCCAGCUGUGGAUAUGAAGCACCUGUGUACGGGCCUUUAGGAUGGCCCUCCCGUUUUGAAGAGAGGGAGAGCCUACAGCCAGGGCGCUGGGAGAGUGGAUGUGAUAGGCCUGCAGGGUGAAGGCCCCAGGGCAUGGGCUUUGAGCUCUUUUCCAGCACUGGGGACUGGUGUGCCAGGGGCCAGCCAUACGCCCACCCAGCCCUCCAGCCUGGGGCCUAUCGUGAGGAUUUCCAGCAUCCUGGGCAAUGCGAUCGCUCAGCUGAGGUCCCCGAGAGCCGAGUGGCACAUCCUAGACCUGACCAACAUAGCUGGAUGGAGGCAUGUGGUGGGACAGUGAACCGGGCAUGUACCAUGGCCUGGGGUGGAGACUCUCUGUGCAGCACCGACCAGCCCUUAGGGGGCCUGAGGCUUGCGGGACCAGUGCUGUUGGGCCCAGAGAGAGAACCCCUUUCCUCUGCAGUGUUGGCGAGCCCACUGUGUCCUGUCUGGUUCCGUGCCCCUCAGCAGGCUUGGCCUUCAGCUUGGCCUCAGGCUUCAGGCCAAGCUUCCGCCCCUCACACCUGGAGGUCUGCCCACAGGCAGGCAGCCAAGCCGCGUGGUCUCCGCUGCCUCCUUCCUUCCACCAGGUCAUCUUGUUGAGGGAGGACAGGACUCACCUCUGGACAGCACAAGAGGGAAGGCAGAAGCCCUCACCUGGAACCUUUCUUCUGACCCAGACCCUUGGUUCUGAGGAGCCCUUAAAGGCCAGUAGUCCCUGCAGCACGGGGAAACAGCCCCCUGCAUUCCUCCUGGGGCCUGAUUAGAACACAAAUGGCCACUGUUCACCGAGAGCCACCUACCUCUGUCCUUACUAUAGCAACCUGCAAAGUCCCGAUAAUCUGAACUCUCUGCCAAGCACCAUUCUCAACACUCACGCAUGUCAACUCGGUCCUCUCUGUGCCCCAAAGAGCAGCUUAUUCUUACUAUGUGCAUUGACAGGGGAGGAAACAGAGGGCAGGGGGAGGGAAGUGAUUUGUCCAGAACCACACUGUGUGUGUGAUUGUUUUAGGCAAUGGCCAAUCGGGGGCAGCCGCAAGAGGGGGCACAGGAGAGGCACAGGACAACAGAUGUUCCUAGACUCACAGGCCCCACAGAGUCACUGCACACUCCGCUGGGAGGGGUCGCAUGGGAGGAGCACCCAGGGCCCAGGCUCCACCAAGCAGGUGGGGGGCAGAGAGCGGGUGAGGCUUUUUUAUCGGGGAUCAGAGUGAAGCACACCAAAAACAGACACGAGGGAAUUCCACCAGUGCAUUUGAAUGUUACUAGGUCACAGUCAGGGGAACUUGUGGCACAGCCGGCCCCAUGACAAUAGUGCACUGGGUCACCCAGGCAGGUGCACACAACCUGUGUCUGGGGAUGUGGAGGCAGCAGGAAAAUGUGAAGUUUUCAAAUGUGCGACACACAUUGCUGGUGAGUGGCAUGUGGUCUAGCUCCAAGCCCAUGCUCUGACCCACCAUGGCCCACCACACUCCACUGCAUCCAAAGAGGUAGUAUUCACCCCUGCUUUACAGAUGAGGAGGCCAGGCUGAGACGUGCAGGAAGUAAGGGCCAGAGCUGGACUGGGAAUUGCAGUCUGUUGGAAUUGCCUCCAAGAGUCUGCUUCUCCUGGGGGCCAAGGCUGAAGGAAGGCAGAGGGACAGGAAGCUGAGCGGGGCAGGGAUGAAUGUGUGCAGGGCACACCCUGCCGUCCAUCUAUGGGUAGGUCUGUGUGGAGCCGUGGCUCUUGGAGAUCUGGCUGAUGACAAGAGAGGGCUCUGUGCAGGACCCAGCCCAGACCACUAGGGCAGGAGACCAGGGGUGUCAUGGUGAGACCCUAGACGCCUUGGGCAUCCCAGUGCCUCCUUGCUCCCAUUAUAUAAGAAAAGAACAGCAUACCUGGGUUAGAGCAUAUUUGGUUUGGAAGGGAACUUGAAGGUCACAAGGUCCAAUCCUCCAUCCAAAGGUUCCAGGCUGAAGGGCACUGGCUGGGUGAGAGUAUGGGCUACCUAGGCAUUAAUGGAGACACUCAGAAUUAUUGGCUUUUGGGGAGAACAGUCUAAUCUUAAGAGCUCUUCCCAGAAAAGCCUUAGGUUUAGCACCUGACCACACUCUGCUCUCCAAGCCACUGAUCACAGCCUCCUCUUCCACACUCUGCCUUACACAAUCCAUUUGCACGAUCUGUCCAGCCAUUCAGGCUGAUCCAUGAAGAAUGGAUGUCUCUAGCCUCCCCACACACAAUCUGACUGUCACUUAGUCUGGAUGGCCUGCCCAGAGGGGACCAAGCCCUGAGCCCAGGGCUGUGUAAGAGAGAUGUGGAGACUUAGUAAAGAUCAGGGUCCUGUGCUUGCCUAAACGCUUGAUGGGCACCUCUUGACCCACCUUUCUGAGCUUCAAGGAGUCAACAAACAGAGAGAGCCUUGUCAUCUCUCUGGGGCUUGAGGCAGGGCUGGGGCAAAGUGGCUAUUGGACAGGCUGGCAUGAGACAAUGUCCUUCUUCUCAGCUCUACUUUACUCACUUCUGUGGAGACCUGCCUGUGUUCAUUCUCAUCCCACAUAGAACCGGGGAUCUUUCUGGUUCAAGUCACUAAACAGACACAUCAGGGAGGCAACAGCUUGAAAUUGAAAGCAGAAAAAAGUGUGCAUGUACACAAACAUGUACAAGCAUGAAUGUGUGCGCGCACAUACAUGCAUGCACACCUGCACACGCACACACCUGCACGUGCAUGCAUGCACACUUGGCCACCAGUUCAGGACUGCAAGGACAGGCAUCUCUGCCAGGGGGCUAGCAAACAGCAAACCCCACGGCCUAGAAUCUGCUUUUGCUUUCUUGACUUUUCCUGCCCUGGUGUGAAAGAACCAAUGACAGAACUGGCUCAGGGACCGAGCAUGGGGUGAAGCAGAAGAUCUGAGUAACCCAUAUCCUGGCCCACCAGCCCCAGAAUUAUUGAGCAUUUGAUUGUUUAAACCAAAAAGACGGCUGCAGAAACUUUCUUGGGCUAACACAAGUAGGAAUUUUUAAACCCAUUUAGAGUCAAGCGUGUGGUUAAGGCAGCAUAAACGCGUUGUGUGCUUCUUGGCGGUUCCUUCCCGGUUUCAUUUCUUUUUUCCUCUCCAUGUCCAACUUCCUUUUGAAAUCUUGAAUCAGCUGAGGGCAGAAGGAAGCCCCAAGGGGGAAGCACGAUGAGUCUAGCACUAGACAAAGUGGUCCCCGAAGAGGAGAGGGAAGGAUGAAAGACCAGGCCUCGAAUGAAGUGCAUCCACCUUGGAUCAGGAGGCAGUGGGAGGCGGACAUGGGAGUUCCCAGGGAGCUACCCAGAGAGGGGCCGUCCAGCUCCCACGUGGGCACGUCAUCUGUCCCGGCCCAAACCUUCCUCCAAGUACAUCUGCAGCCCCUCAAAAUCACUUUCUCAAGAAGGAAAUGCUCGUCAGGGACGGGAAUAGCAUGUCUUUGCUGGUGCUGAGACGAUGAUCAGCUUGGCAUCAGAAAUCUGCAGAGAGGGGAAGGGAAUGGGGUUUAAAUUAUUUACACCAGACCUUCUCUUUUAGCAAAGACUGCACGAGAGAGACAGAUAAUUCAGGCCAUCUGGACCCGAGGCCGAUGACCAGGACAGAUGCCACCUAGAUCAAAAGAGGAAGAUAUUUUUAGAGUUUUGAAUGUGGGCUCUGAAAACUUUUACAUCUUAAGCCAAAUGAAGAUCAUGAUGGAUGGUUCAGACUUAACUGGGUCUUUAUCAGGGGAUGGAUUAAAAAGUAAGAAGUCCUAGAAACUAAUUUCUGAAAAUGAGGGGAGCCAGAAUUGCAACACUUCCAUCAAAUAUGCCGAGGCUUGGUCAGCCAGGGCAAUGGGGUCCAGGAUCAAAGAUAAUAGCUGGGGUCAGGCUGAAAAGCUGGUUUUCAUGGAGCUUGCCCAGCUUGCUCUGGGGCCUCAGGUAAGUCACUGCUUUCUGCUUUGCCACUUUGGCGUUGCCAUUUUAUCUGGGACGAGGUGUGAGGAUAAGGAGGAAGUCUUUUCAGGUCUUAGGAAACGAGUCACCACAUUAUAUAAAGAUUGUAAAAAUGUGGCUCUGGUGAACAUUCUCAUCACCAUCACCAUGGCCAAGCUCCUUUGAGAAGAGACCUACAUAAGUAAGAGUUAUUCUUGGGCCCACUGCCCCCAGACCCCCACAGCCUUGGCUGGGCCACAUCCUCUAAAGAAGCUGGGACUGGUGGGAAGUUCGGGGGAACCUGGGUCCCUGGACCCGGGAACUGGACUGCAUCGCCCCCUCAUUUCUCACCCACAUGUUCCUUUCUGUUGCUCCACCAGCCACCCAGCCCCACGGUGGGCCUUGCCUCGUCUGUUAGGUGGUAUUUUCAUCUUUGGUCAGAUGACAGCCCCCAUGCUCCAAAAAUUCUCCUGCAGCCAGGGCUUGGAGAAUCCCGACCCCUCUCUGGCAUGAACCUCUCCCCAUCCAGGGUGGCUUGUGUGGUAGAGCCAGGGGAAUGGAGAAGAUGACCUCUGAAGCCUGAAGGCUCUUUGGGAAGCAGGACAUCCUGAAGAGCCAGCCUUGAGCUGGCUGCACAAGAGACUCAUAGACUCUGCGUCAACAUCCACCUCUCCAGGCUGCAGUGGGUGUACCUGUUCACCGCCACCUCCAGCAGCACUGUCGCAGCGGAGCAGUUCUCACAGCCAAUGAGCUUCCACGCCACCUCCCUGCAGUUCUCUGCAACCGAGGCUCCAUCCUGCACUGAUGGGCUGCCUGACACGUCGGCCUCAACAAGCAUUUCCAGCACAUUCUCAGCUUUCCUGCUCUGCUGGGCAAAACGCAGGGUGAGAAGGGGAGAGGAAGCACGGGACUGUGGCCCAGUUCUAGGCUUGGAUUCUAGCGAGGAACACCAGGUGCCUGCAUUAAAAGGUAAAGGACCGUGCAGGUGGUUUGAAUUUGUGUUUGGAUUUGGUCAGAGGCUCUGACCUCUCUGGGCCUCAGGACUUUUCCUAACCUUUAGGCUGUCCUGUUCUUGGUAUCUCCUCACUCUUGUUCUUGGCAGCCUUCCCUACCCCCCGUAGCCACUUUUGUCCUAGAACGAAUUACCAUUGCUAGGGACACACCACUAGUCCUGCCCUGGGGCCCUUGCCACUGCUCUUAUCCCACCUUCACCACCUGCACAGUCCCUUCUGUCCACCUGUGUGCACAGGUAUCUGCAGGCUGCACCAUCUCUGUCCAAAGCCUGUGAGAAGACAGCCACGGGAAUGUCUAGUGCUUUCCAGCGGGGGCUGGGAAGAAGUGGCAAUUGGUCAUCUCCCUAUACCUGAAUCCACUGAGCAUCCUCUGAGUCCCCUGCUCUGUGUCUCCCCAUGGGGCACCUGGCCCCCAUCCCCCCAGCCUGCUGGCCAGGCCCUGCUGCCCUCUCUGGGUGCUGCCCUGACUCAGCCCAUUCCAACUAAGUUCUUCAUAGUCCCAGCUUGAAGCUCAGUGGACACCUGUCUUGGGCGUGUAGUUCUGGAAUUCUGUUCUCCUUCCGGGCCCACCCCCCACCACACACACACACACACACACGUUCCUCUUAGACCCCAACAUUUGGGCUGGCGCUUUGGAUGGCCUCAGCCACAUUUUCUCUUUUUUUCCUAUUUUAUUUUUUGAGAAACAGGUCUUGCUAUAUUGUCCAGGCUGGUCUCGAACUCCUGGACUCAAGCAGUUCUCCUGCCUCAGCUCCAAGUUGCUGGGCUUACAGGUGUGAGCAAGUGCAACUGCUCAGCUGCAUUUCCUUGAUGUGCUUGUAGAAUACCUCCUGCUUCCCCAGCAUCCAGUUUGCUCCCUCCCUGCCUCUUCCAACUUAACCCUCACUCCAUCUCAUCUACAGCUCUCCUUACCCCAGCCCUGGUCCUCUUCUCUGCUCCCAGCCCCCCGGGUCAGGAAUGUAUGUUAGUAUCAGAAACUGGCCAGAGCUCAUCCUCUUGUCCUCACUGUAGAGCUGCUCCCAGUGGAAUGGCUGAGUCCCAACCUCCGCCAUAGCUGCGGCUGGAUAGCCCAGGCUGUGAGCCCUGGGCUGGGGCCAGGACGGGUAGAGGUCACCUUCAGCCUUCCGACAAUGACAUCUUGUUACAGGAAUGGCUUGAGGCUUCCAAAUUCACAUCCUCUGGUUUGCACAAACAGGCCAGGCAGCUGCACCUCUGAGCUGCCUCCAGUCCAUGGUUAAUUGCCAGAAAAUAAUUCGCCCUGAGGUCAUUGCCGUUUAAACAGCUGGCUUCGUCUUUUCCUGUUUGGCCGGUCGUUCUGGGCUCCCUGGCCCUCCCUCCACCUGCUUCUGUGAUCCUCUCAAACACAGCCGGCUGGGAGCCUCAGGCUGGGCUCUUCUCCCUCCACCUUAACUUGGCGACGUCUUGAUCCUCGUGUUGUGCUGAUGCGAGGCUGUUCUGGGAAUAGGCUAGUCCCUCCACCUCGUCACGACCUGCCUGGACACCAAGCCUCCACCAUCAGGCUAUCACUUGCAGGAAAUUUUGCAAACCCUGUGUCUCUCUAAUCAUACAGGAUGGUUGGAGAGACAAAAGAGGAAUGAAUGCUUCCACGAAGCUCCCUCUUUGUGGCAGAAUCAGUCCAAUGGAGAAAUUCUGAAAUUCCAGUUUUACAAAGUUCUUCAAACUUACCUCAAGGAUGGCACCAGCUGAAGCUCAGUUGCCCUGUCUCUUAUGCACCAGAGCAUCUGCCCCAGAAACUCUUAUCUGGGGCUCAGUUUGCCCCCAUGUGGUAUAAGUCCCUCCAAAGAUUCCAUUUCUAGUUACUCGUCUCAAUGUCACAAUGAGAAAUAUUUCUGCAUAUUUCCUGCAAAGCGUCUCAUUAAAGAAAGUAUUGGUUUGAUUCAGAAAAUGCUAUGCUGUUCCAGCUUCACUUUGGAUCUAUAGUUUUAGAAAGUAUCCAACUCUGCUUCUAGUUUAAGCUGUUCUGUUAAAGAGUUAAUGGAAAAAACCCCACUAUGGUAUGAGGAAGGGGGUGGGAAUUAACGUUUGGGUCCCAUUCUGUGCCUAAAACACUGGUUCCCUCUAUGUUUUGAGCCUGAAAUUGAAUCGUUCUUAUGGAAGGCAGAUGCUAGAGGAGCUUUCUUUGGGAUUCUCAUUACCCGUUUCCAUCAGACCAGGCCAUUAGAUGGUUGCUUCUAGAAGGAUGGGCAGCCCUGAGUCUGCAGGGGGCAGACCGGUCACAAAAACCAGAGUGGAGCUGGGGGGUCGGACUGGAGUUCUUUGGGCAGGUUCAGUUCACACCCCGGUGCACAGGGUCCACAAAGGCACAAAAAGGCACAGGUGAGAGCCAGGAGGGCAAGCAGGGAUCCAAGUGUACACAGCCCAGGGAGCAAGACAAGCAGAGAGGCCUGGAGCCAGAAGGAGGCUCGGAAACAAGGAUGCCAGCAGUGAGCUCACGGGUCAGAAGCUUCUGGCCCAAGGCUUUAUGGAGGCCAUGCCUGAGCUGAAUAUUGGUGGCUGAGCAGCCAAUAAACGGAACACAGAUGGGGCCAGGGCAGGGAAUUCCAGGCAGGAGGAACAGCCAGAGAGCAAAGGCAGGGAGGCUGGAGGCUUUGCUGUGUGAUGAUCUGUGUACACACAGGGAAUGCUUCACAGGCUGUAGAGACAGUGACUAGCUUCUGAGAUCAGAGUAGGCUGGGCUGAGUAAAGGGAAGGGUGGAGGGGGCAGAGACCCACAUUACAGCCCGUGGCCCUGAACCCAGGACAAGCCACGGGGGUGGAGGAGCAGGCAGGAGAUGCUCCACCACUGCUGGCAAGGAGCAGGGCAGCCUGCCCAAGGGGGUACUGCCUGGAGCAUCACUGACUUACUUACCCCAUCUGCUGGCGAGGAUACAGAAGCUCAGCCCACAGGGCCACAAUGGAUGGCCCUAAAGUUUGUGUCCUAUGCAAGGGGACCACAGAAGGCUGGUGCCCUGGACAGUUGGCAAGAGGCUGAGCGCAGGGCAGUGAGGGAUGCUCGUGUGCCUGGGGAAAGCUUCCCUGGGCUUCCCUUUUUUUUCUCCAUCUUCACCCUCUCAUCCCUCACCCCUCCUGACACCCUGUCCCUUGGGGGAGCACCUAACACCCCUGUGUCCACCCGAACCACACCAGCCCUAACGUGCCAAAUCCCCACUAAAUGAGCCCAGUGCUCAUCCAUCCAUCCGCGCAUCCGUUGUUCAGUGGGGAAAGUAGCACGUAGCAGGUGCGAGCACAGGCUCUGCAGCCGGAAUUCCUGGGUUCCAUGCCUCACCCAGCCACGUAUUUGCUGGGUGACCUCAGGCAAGCUACUUAGUGUCUCCACGCACGUGUGCUCAUCUAGAAAACGAGGCUGAUGCUCGUGCCCACGUGGCAAUGUGAUGAGUAAUGCUAGUACUCAUCUCUGAGGGUGGAUGGGAGAGACACGCAAAGUGCUUGCAAGGGGGCCGGCACCUGGGAGCACUCAUACAUGUUGACUGUCACUGUCAUGGAGCACCACCGUGUGCCAGGCUCUGCUUGGUGCUCCUGGGCUGCUCACAUGAGCAAGGCACUGACUCUGCCAAGGAAGGGUGCUUUUUUUUUCUUUUGGAGAAAGAAAAGGGAUGCUUUCUGCUGCUCCCGCCCUGAAAACACUGCGUGCCCCUCUGCUCUUCUCCUACUAGGCUUGAGAAGCAAGACCAGCACACCCUGAGUUGGGGUGUUGCCUCCUAAGCCACUGGCCAGCAGUUCUGGGGGGGUGGGGGUGCUGAAGAGAAUGCGGGGCUCUGCUGGUGCAGCAUGGACCCUCCUUGGUCUGGUGAGCUGGGAGAAGCAGGACAGCAUGGGGUCCAGUGAUACUAACCGUGUGGAAAUAGAACUCCUCCAGAUUACAGGGCACCUGAGAAUUUCUUACUGACUUUUGUUUAAUAAUUCAAAAACACAUCAAAUCAAACUUAAUCAAGGCAAAAGCUGUCUCUGGAGCCUUCUUCGUGCUUCCUAGAGUCAAGCUCUUACAGAAUCACGGCAGCACCCCCCUCCCUAGCUCACGAAGGAAGCUGGAGGACUCCACAGCUGCUUCAGGAAACAGACUAUCCCCAGGGAACCCUUCAGAGAUCUUGGGACCAGACAGGAUGUACCUGGACUCCUGGAAUUCCCUCUCCAGCCUCCAGGUCCCGUGAGGAUGUGAGCUGGAGCAGUACGGGCUUCCCUGAUCCUUCCUGUGUCCAGGUGAGCAGCCUCCUGCCACAGAGCUGCCCUCCCAGGCAGGCACAGCGCACAAGGCCGUGCAUGCUUCUGUCCGUGUUCCGUUCCUGGCUCCUCGGAUCUUCCAUUUGUGCCUCCUGUAGUAUACAGGGGCACAUAAACAAAUCAAGUCCCAGCGUCAGCUGUCAAUGUGUGGCCCAGGGUUUCUCAACCUCGGCACUACCGACAUUUGGGGCCUGAUAAUUCUUUGCUGCGGGAGACUGCCCCGUGCACUGUAGGGCGCUCAGCAGCAUCCCUGGUCUCUACCCACUGGUAAUACUCCUUCCCCAGCUAAUGACAACAGCAAAAGUCUCCAGACAUUGCCAAAUGUCCCCUGAGGGCCAAAUCCAGCCAGGUUGAGAAGCACUGGUAUAAAUUUAACUAAGGUAAUUGUUCUAUGGUACUCUCGGAAGUACCAGAAAAAGAUGAAACUACUGCCCUCAGUGUGGGGCUGGCACGCUCCCACGGGUUCCUGCUGCCUCCCAGGUGUGCUUUGUAAGACAGCGCAUACCCACACCUUAAUCAGGGGAUGUUCACCAAGCAUGCCUCUACAUUGAGUGCCACACCAGGCACCGUGGAGGAGUACGCUGGUCCCCAUGCCCAGAAGCUCACAGUCAUUCUGGGGGGACAGUGGUAACACCUGAAACAAAAGCAACUGAUACAGGGCAGUGGGGGAAGUUGUGCCGUUCAUCCAGUGGAGACCUACACCCAGGAAUCAUGCAGUAGGCAUGGGGAGGGACACGGAGGCGGAGCCCCGCCUAGCUGAGGAGAGAAGGGGCAAAGCAGAAAGUGCUGGUGUCAGGAGACAGCAGAUGACAUGCUGCAGGCAUUGGAGGGCAGGGAGUAGCCAUCGCUGCUACCUGGCAUGGCUUAGUGGAGCCAUGACUGAGCUGAGCUGGGUAUUGAAGGACAAGGAGGCACCGGCAUUCCAGGCAGUUGGGGACGGGGAGAGCAAAGGGCUGAAGGCUAGAUGCCUGGCCUGCAUGAAAGGAGCUCCAUAAAGCAACACGAGGGAUGUUUCUCCACUUUGCAGACAGCCAACCUGUGCCGCGGGAGCCCUGAGAUGAUUCCGAUGCACGGAGGGAGCCAGGAAACGCUGGUAUUUCUGCCUGUCGCUUAUUAUCUGGUUGAGCUGGUGGCGGGAGUCCCGGCCCAUGUGUGUUACCAGAGGGAUGGUCUAGAGGAUGAAUCCAACUGUCAGAGGCAUCCAAGAAGAAAGGCCUGGGCCAGGAUCACAUGGAAGACCCUGAAGACAGGAUCGAGUCUUACCUGCCUGGAUUGAACAGGGAUGCAGUGACCAGUCCCAUCUGCUCCCACCCUGCUGCCCUCUGAAUCGAGAGUUUGAGGCCAUGACCAGGGUAACGUUCAGCUGGUAGAGACAACACAACCCUGCUGGCUGUUUAAGCCAUGCUGGAAUGGUGCUCACAGGGUAACAAUUCUGAGUGAUGAACAGAAGCAGCACUUGAGCCAGACUCUGACCAAGAACUACGGGCAGGCUAGAGCCACACAGAUCCCCGCCUCAGUAGACCGGCUGCAGCAGGAGGUACACCAUGCCCUAUGGCCUUGAAGGCCAAGCAGACACAGGUUCAAAUCCUGACUCUCUUCUUUCCUGUCUGUGUGGCCCUGGGCAAGUUACUUACCCUCUCUGAGCCUCGGCUGCCACAUCCCUAAAAUGAAGCCUCUUUAGGGUAUGUGAGCAUUAAAUUCGGUCACACCUGUAAAGUCCCUACCACCGUGAGAAGUGCCUGCUGAAGCCUGGUUCCUCUCCCUCCCUCUCCUUGACUCCCUCCUCCAAACCCACCCCUGCUGUCUUCCCGUUCUGGGUCCUGGUGGGCAGGAAGCUGGCAGUACCAGGAGAACUCCAUCUCCUGCCAGGAUCUGGGCCAGGAAGCCUCUCUCCGGGUUUCUUCUGUCUGUGAGGCUGCCUUCCUUCUUCCCUGGGGAGCGGGGAGCUGAAGCCCCAUAAGAGGGAGCGCUACCCGACGGGGGUAUUUCAGCUAAGCCACCAACAGAACUCUCCAGUUGUGAGCCAGCAGGCAGGAUGCUGAGGGACAGAAAGGUGGUCUCCUUUCCAAGAAAAGAUGCGGCAGAUCCCUCCAGCGAGGCCCACCAUCCUGCCAGACAUAGGGGGCGGGCAGUGGACCUCAGAGCUGUGCUGUCCAAUACGGCAGCCACCGCCCACAUGUGGCUAUUUACAGUUAAAUUAAACAAAAUCCAGUUCCUUGCUCACACCAACCACAUUUCAGGCGCUCAGGAGCCCCAGAUGGUGAGUGAACGCCGAGCUGGGCAGCACAGAUGCAGGACGCUGCCUCCAUCGCAGAAAGUUCUCCUGGACGCCACUGUUCCAGAUCCUGAUGGUUCAAGUGCUACGGAUGCAAUAGCUCAGCGACUGGCAGCGCAGCACGUACCUGCUGUCGUGGGAGGUGAGAGCCGCCAGUGCCCGACAGCGGCUGCAAGGCAGUGGUGGCACUCUGCAGCCAGCCGGCCCACCCCUCCAACAUCUGCAAGGGGGUGGUAAGUGCCCCAGCGCAAGCUGGGGACAAGGAAAGGGCCCCAGCCUGGCCUCCAGGAGCCCUCAACGGGCUGGGGUCAGGCAGAUGGGUGUGGGAAUAGCAGAGCACACAUGAUUCUUGGCCACGAGCCCACAGUGCCAGGCCCCUCAGACGCUCUACAAAGCCCUGGGACAAGCAGCUCCUGCUGAGAGAGUCCAGGGCACCACGGCAUGCCCCUGGGGCCACCCACGAAACCUGUGAGCCACUCAAGGCCAGGUCCAGCCCAUGAGUCCUCUGGUCCACCCUCUGCCUCUGCCAUAUGCACCGGGACGGCCAGCCCUUCCUCCCCACCUGUGCCUGCUUCUGAGCCAAAGCCAUGACACCUGCCCUUCCCUUGCAGGGAGGCUGCCUCACCAAGCUACCUGCUACUCAUGGGGGCGAUGGGCAUCAGGGUGGCCUGCCUGGAGGUGAGUUGCAGUUGGGAGACUAGGAGGAAAUACUCACUCGGGAUAUUAAACUAGGCUCUGAACCCGUCUCCAGCGGCAGAUAUCUCCAGUAACUGGGCUGGCAUGUCCGUGCCCUGCGCUGCUCUCUUCUCUCAGCUUCCCUUUGCAACCAAGGCUGAUUCCCACAGUCAGUCUCUCCCCCAGAGAACACGAAGGAAGAUGCCUGAGGGACAACAUGAACUUGUCAGGAACAGGGGCCUGGGAGGAGUGCGGAUGUGGGCUCAGGUACGCGCAUGCACCUUGAGUGUGUGCAUGUGGGGGUCAGUGUGCAAGCCUGCCGUGGUGUGUGUGGGUCCGUGGGGGUCCCCAUGUUCCCGGGUCUAUGUGGGUGGGGUGGUAUGCACUAUGUGUGUUUAGGGUGCUUGUGCAUGUGUGAGUGUGUACAUAUCUGCAUUCAUUCCUGUGUGUGCGUCUGUGUGUGUCUGUGUGUGUGUCUGUCUGUGUGUGUGUGCGUCUGUGUGUGUCUGUGUGUGUGUGUGUCUGUCUGUCUGUGUGUGUGUCUGUGUGUGUGUCUGUGGGGGUGUGUGUGUGUGUGUACCAUCAGCCCUCCAUAUCCACGGGUUCUGUAUCCUUGGAUUCAACCAACUGUGGAAUAAAAGUACUAACAAAAA
Long non-coding RNA from Pan troglodytes (chimpanzee), 22595 nucleotides. RefSeq lists it as uncharacterized. The record is from RefSeq and is a predicted model, not a curated record. NCBI's taxonomy places the organism in Eukaryota, Metazoa, Chordata, Mammalia, Primates, Hominidae. The transcript is spliced from 7 exons.